RNAcentral lists this ribosomal RNA (489 nucleotides) under uncultured bacterium. Its description in RNAcentral is "bacterial SSU rRNA". It matches the Rfam family "Bacterial small subunit ribosomal RNA", at positions 1 to 507 of the family's 1533-position model. The record is from RNAcentral.
AGUAGUUUGACUCCGUGGCUCGAGGACGACGCUGGCGGCGUGCUUAACACAUGCAAGUCGAACGGUGACGAGGAGCUUGCUCCUCCGAUCAGUGGCGAACGGGUGAGUAACACGUGAGUAACCUGCCCCGGACUCUGGGAUAACAGUUGGAAACAGCUGCUAAUACCGGAUACGAGACGGAGAGGCAUCUCUACCGUCUGGAAAGUUCUUCGGUCCGGGAUGGACUCGCGGCCUAUCAGCUAGUUGGUGAGGUAACGGCUCACCAAGGCGACGACGGGUAGCCGGCCUGAGAGGGCGACCGGCCACACUGGGACUGAGACACGGCCCAGACUCCUACGGGAGGCAGCAGUGGGGAAUAUUGCACAAUGGGCGAAAGCCUGAUGCAGCGACGCCGCGUGAGGGAUGACGGCCUUCGGGUUGUAAACCUCUUUCAGCAGGGAAGAAGCGCAAGUGACGGUACCUGCAGAAGAAGCACCGGCUAACUACGUG